GCCCUCAUCGUUCAACGGAUAGGACACAAGCUUGCGGAGCUUGUAAUAGGGGUUCGAUUCCUCUUGAGGGCA
RNAcentral lists this transfer RNA (72 nucleotides) under bacterium. Its description in RNAcentral is "tRNA-Arg". It matches the Rfam family "tRNA". From Rfam's summary of the family: Transfer RNA (tRNA) molecules are approximately 80 nucleotides in length. Their secondary structure includes four short double-helical elements and three loops (D, anti-codon, and T loops). The record is from RNAcentral.